Non-coding RNA from Triticum aestivum (bread wheat), 126 nucleotides. Lineage: Eukaryota; Viridiplantae; Streptophyta; Magnoliopsida; Poales; Poaceae. The record is from Rfam.
AUCCUACUCCCACCGUGCGAAAAAAUUUGUCCCAAACUUGUCCCUUAAAUGGAUGUAUCUAGCACUAACUUAGUGCUAGAUACAUCCAUUUGAGGGACAAACUUUUUUGGAUGAAGGGAGUACAAA